AUGCAACAUCAACACAAUUUCCACAACAAACAUUCACUCUGCCAUUCGUUGAAAAAAAAUAGCCUUUGAAACAAUACAAACCUGCCCCAAAGUAAGCUUCAAUUCAUUUGCUAAAACCUUUCACAAACACACUACAGACUAACACAAAAUUGAAAAUCAAUUAAAUUGCGAAUUCUUAAUAGAAAAAAAAGUGAGACAUUGGUUUUCUUUUGUAAUUUGAAUUUCUGUAAGGGAGGAGAUGG
Molecule: long non-coding RNA, 242 nt
Filed under: Erythranthe guttata (spotted monkey flower)
Lineage: Eukaryota; Viridiplantae; Streptophyta; Magnoliopsida; Lamiales; Phrymaceae
Description: long non-coding RNA (EGUT_LNC002190)
Source: RNAcentral